UUGCAAUCGAAGGAUCCGCACGUCCUCUCGUCGGUUGCAUGGAUUUUUUAAUUUUCUCACGAAAAAGUGCGUUUAGUGUACACAAUUUAUGCGUAAUCUGUUACUAGUGCCCUGCUUAGCCUCCUGAAAAAGCGCGUUAUAUUAAUACUACAACACCACACACUCCUUCCCCACUCACACGAGCAUUGCUAGCUCUCUGUGUUGGUUAAUAAAAUUUCCUAAUUCAACAUUAGUGAAUUUCGUUAGCUGAUGCGGCUGGUUAACAGUGUUUUUGUCGGUGUGGAUCCCCGGCUUAAGAUGACUCCAGAGCGCGGCGCGGCCUUCCCCAAGAGAGGAGACUUCUUGGGUCACCCCCUAACCCUGAUGUUCGGGCAUCGAUGACCUGUGUAGCAUGCAGAGGUACCCAAGGGAGUCACCACCCUCUGAUUUACGAGCUAGGUGUUCUAAU
Molecule: long non-coding RNA, 448 nt
Filed under: Sitophilus oryzae (rice weevil)
Lineage: Eukaryota; Metazoa; Arthropoda; Insecta; Coleoptera; Curculionidae
Description: uncharacterized LOC115880396
Source: RNAcentral